Molecule: non-coding RNA, 120 nt
Filed under: Fictibacillus enclensis
Lineage: Bacteria; Bacillati; Bacillota; Bacilli; Caryophanales; Fictibacillaceae
Description: SAM-I sequence
Rfam family: SAM riboswitch aptamer (S box leader)
About the family: The SAM riboswitch is found upstream of a number of genes which code for proteins involved in methionine or cysteine biosynthesis in Gram-positive bacteria.
Source: Rfam by way of RNAcentral
UUCUUAUCCAGAGAGGUGGAGGGACAUGGCCCUUUGAAACCUCGGCAGCGGGUUUUUCGUUUUUUGAAAAAAUACUGUGCCAAUUCCACCAGGUUCCCUAAAGAACCUGGAAGAUAAGAA